Molecule: transfer RNA, 73 nt
Filed under: Sargassum horneri
Lineage: Eukaryota; Phaeophyceae; Fucales; Sargassaceae
Description: tRNA-Met
Rfam family: tRNA
About the family: Transfer RNA (tRNA) molecules are approximately 80 nucleotides in length. Their secondary structure includes four short double-helical elements and three loops (D, anti-codon, and T loops).
Source: RNAcentral
CGGUUUGUAGUUUAAUAGGUAAAACAUAGUUCUCAUGAAGCUAGUAUUGCAGGUUCAACUCCUGCCGGACUGA